AGUGAACGCUGGCGGUAGGCCUAACACAUGCAAGUCGAACGGCAGCACAGUAAGAGCUUGCUCUUACGGGUGGCGAGUGGCGGACGGGUGAGGAAUACAUCGGAAUCUACUUUUUCGUGGGGGAUAACGUAGGGAAACUUACGCUAAUACCGCAUACGACCUACGGGUGAAAGCAGGGGAUCUUCGGACCUUGCGCGAUUGAAUGAGCCGAUGUCGGAUUAGCUAGUUGGCGGGGUAAAGGCCCACCAAGGCGACGAUCCGUAGCUGGUCUGAGAGGAUGAUCAGCCACACUGGAACUGAGACACGGUCCCGACUCCUACGGGAGCCAGCAGUGGGGAAUAUUGGACAAUGGGCGCAAGCCUGAUCCAGCCAUACCGCGUGGGUGAAGAAGGCCUUCGGGUUGUAAAGCCCUUUUGUUGGGAAAGAAAAGCAGCAGGUUAAUACCCCGCUGUCCUGACGGUACCCAAAGAAUAAGCACCGGCUAACUUCGUG
This 492-nucleotide ribosomal RNA is filed under the name uncultured bacterium. RNAcentral describes it as "partial 16S ribosomal RNA". It matches the Rfam family "Bacterial small subunit ribosomal RNA", at positions 29 to 507 of the family's 1533-position model. The record is from RNAcentral.